Molecule: ribosomal RNA, 246 nt
Filed under: uncultured fungus
Lineage: Eukaryota; Fungi
Description: partial 26S ribosomal RNA
Rfam family: Eukaryotic large subunit ribosomal RNA
Source: RNAcentral
AUAUCAAUAAGCGGAGGAAAAGAAACCAACAGGGAUUGCCUUAGUAACGGCGAGUGAAGCGGCAACAGCUCAAAUUUGAAAGCUGGCCCUUUUAGGGUCCGCAUUGUAAUUUGUAGAGGAAUGAUUCGGCGAGGGCUCCUGCCUAAGUCCCCUGGAACGGGGCGUCAUAGAGGGUGAGAAUCCCGUAUGCGGUAGGUUGCCUUAGCCAUGUGAAUCUCCUUCGACGAGUCGAGUUGUUUGGGAAUG